Long non-coding RNA from Equus caballus (horse), 2979 nucleotides. RefSeq lists it as uncharacterized. Lineage: Eukaryota; Metazoa; Chordata; Mammalia; Perissodactyla; Equidae. The record is from RefSeq and is a predicted model, not a curated record.
AGUCCUAUAAGAUUCAGAGAGGGGAUUUCUUGGAACCUUAGAAGAUGCUGUGCUCAGAUGACCUCUCUAAGGAAAGGCUGCCAAGUUCUGGAAAGCUUGAAGGACUUAAAAGAGAAAGUUUUCAUUUAGAGCAUCCAUUGCCUGGAACAUAUCAAACCUGAAGGCUGCGUUUCAAUCCAACGGCUUCUAACCAGCUGAAACUGAUGGAUGACUAGCAAAGCAGAGCGAGCCCAGGGUGACGGUGCCUCACCCACUUAAAUGCAGACUCUUCAGUGACCUAUGAACUGUGUGGCUUGUUUUCAUCAACUGCGUGCAGACGAAUGGCCUGGUGGCCCCCAACCCUGAGUGCAGACCUCACUCGUUUAUUAGCAGUGUCCCUGUAAGCACACACCACAUUCCCGAUACAUUAAACCUCCUGACCUUCGGCCUCCGAACCACGCAGGAACAUGGUUCAUUGGCAUGUGUUCCCUUAUUGGAGAGCAAAUAGACUCCACACUGGCUUGGGGAUCAUGCUAGAGGUCACUGUCUAUAGGACCUGGAAGAGGAGGAGGAGAUGCCGUGAUGGGACAGGAGACAGGCUCUCCUCAAGAGCCUCUGUCCCAAGUUCGCCCAGCUGCAGAUGGAACCAGAGAUCCACUGGGGGCUGGGAAGCUACCCCCCUCACUGUCAGCCUGCCUCUGGUUCUCCCAUGGCUGCCUUGGGUCUGUGUCAGCCGGUGAACUCCCUCCUCCUGGGAGCACAGCCAUGGCCAGGUGGGCUCCCCACACCUCCUAGGGCGGGAAAGUGCGUCCUCCUGUGCGGGCCCCAGGAAAGUAUGCCCACAUGGGUCACCCUCCCCAGCCAGCCAAGGGUCCCCUGAGUGUUCAGUUGUUAUAAAUGACAUCAGACAGAUGGGCAGGGAGGUGUCCCUGAAGUCCCCUUCCUCUCUCCCAGGGGCUCACUCCAUCCGUGAGAGCAGAUGCCAUAGAGGAAGGAAGUCAAGACUCCUACAUAAUUUGGUUUCUAUUUUUGUCACGUGUAGUUUAGUUUUGUUUUGCUGUUUUCUGAAAACCCGCCUCACUGAAGAAGCAUGUGGGAAUAAUUCUUGCAAUCGUUUGUUCACUGAGUAGGUCAUGUCUGACCUGACUGGUCUUUUUCUGACAAGCGACAAAAAUAGGACUUCUGCCAGGGCCUUUGCAGAGAGCUCCGGCUGUUCCCACAGCCAUCCCAUCUUAGUCGGUUCAGCUGCUGUCACAAAGUACCGUCGACAGAGUGGCUUAUAAACAACAGAAAUUCAUUUCUCACAGCUCUGGAGCCUGAGUCUAAACAGGGUCAUAAACAUCCUUAAAAGUCCUGUCACUUAGGAACAGUUCUGGGCAAUGAAUUCUCCUGGAGCUCCCAAGAGCCAGGUCUGGGGCGGUCACAUUUCUAAUGAGGAGGAUGCGUGUCUACACACAGCAGCAUUGUCCUCCCUUGCUGUCAUUCUGAAUGACAACUUUUAAAUGAAUGGGCCGGUUACCACUUGACCAAGAGAAGAAGCAGAAGCUAAACACCAUGCAAGGAGGGUGUGAAGCUGGACCCUAUGGCUGUUUCUGGACUGCUCUCCCACUGUACCACCUACCACAUAAACCCUCCUCUAUAUUUAAAAUGAGGUCAUGAGAGUGGGUCCUAAUCCAGUAUGAUUAAGGAUUUACAAAAAAGCCAUAUAAAGUCCUUAUAUGAAGGGGAAAUUUGGAUGCAGACGCGGACACUUCCAGAGCGAAGAUGAUGGGAAGACACCCAGGGAGAAGAUGACCAUGUGACUGUAGUCAUGAAGUUACAAGCAAGGAACGCCCAGGACUGCUGGCAAACCAGAUGCUAAGACAAGGCGGGGAAGGAUUCUCCCCGAAGCCGUCAGAGAGAGCGUGGCCUUCCCGACACCUUGGUUUCAGACUUCCAGCCUCCAGGACUGAGAGACAAAUUUCUGUCCUUUUAAGUCAUCUACUUUUUAAAAUUUUGUUAUGAUAGCUCUGGGAAAUUAAUACCUCUGGGAUCCCUUUGACAGCUUGGUAGAGAACAGAUGUGAGGUGUGAGGAAAUCCUGAAGGUGGGGAGAGCUGCUGGGAGCCUGUUUUAUUGCUCUCCGGAGAGAGAACAGGAACCUGAAUUAAGACAGGGCAGUAAGGAAGGAGAGGAAGAGAAAGAUUAGAGAAAUAUUUAGGAGAAAAAACCAGUGAACUUGGCAUUGACUGUGUGGGAGGUCAGAGAGAGAGACUUACAGGAUUUUAUCCUGCAGUCUGGUGGGGCGACAGGUGAAACUGAGCAAGUAGGAGGAAGAGCGGUCUUCAGGUGGCAGACAAAGAUGAGUUCAGGUAUGAUGUCCUCAGUAGAGAUCUGAAGGCCUCUUGAAGAAUGGAAACCCAAUCAGCAAUUGGAGAUUCAUCAAAAAUUCCAGGUAUCUGUACUGAUCACCUUUUGCUGCAUCAAAAAAAUCCCCAAAUCUCAGUGUCUUAAAACCAAAAACAUUCAUUUCUCACCCAGAGGUACGUGGCCUCUGCUCGCGCUGUGGGCUUGGUUCAGGUCUGCUCAUGUGCUGCUCAUUCCGACAUGCACGCUGCCUGGGCACAGCUGCCUCCAGUGUGCCCCCAUCAAAGCUGAGGCUGAAGGGCUGAGCUGAGACACAAGACUCUGCCACUUCUUCCCAUCAGCAUAUGAUCAGGCCCUGAGUCAGUGGAUCAUGGGAGUAACUUCACCUCCUGGGAGGGACCACGAAGCAAAAGUGAGGGAAGGCGUGCUAGAGCAGUGUGUUAACUGUGUCUUUUAUUCUCUGCGUUUAGAUGCUUCCACUCUGGGGUCUUGCUGGCCCUGGAGGGAUUUCCCUCCCUCCUAGGGCUAUUAAUUCCUAGAGGUAGUAAACAACUCGCCCAUGAGCUUUGCAAAUGCAAACCAACCCAUCCACAACCCAACCACCUUUUUUUUUUUUUUUGAGGAAGAUUAGCCCUGAGCUAACAUCUGCCACCAA